Trachymyrmex septentrionalis is the source of this 547-nucleotide long non-coding RNA. RefSeq lists it as uncharacterized. The record is from RefSeq and is a predicted model, not a curated record. NCBI's taxonomy places the organism in Eukaryota, Metazoa, Arthropoda, Insecta, Hymenoptera, Formicidae. The transcript is spliced from 4 exons.
AACGGUGUCGUGGAACGAAAGCGAUAUCUCAAUCGAACUAAUUCAAAUGACCACUUUUGAACACGCUUUUUGAUGACCUCGUCCAUAUAAGUUCGACAUUUACUGCCACUUACCGCUAUUAAUGAAUAUACCACUGUUAUUCAUUCGGUUCAACUUCAACGAGUUAAUUGCGGUAAAAUGUAUUUUGCGCUAUAAGUGCAUCAUCUCAUGUAAAAUUUUUAGCCUAUAGUAACGAAUUGCUGGCACAUCGUUCUGUAUAUGAAAAGGCACCUUGAGAACUUCUUAAAUAUUCAUAUAGUAUUUCUUCUACAUCACAGAUAUACCUUAUGAAUUCAAGAAGAAAUGCUUAGAAUAGGGUCAUAAAAUAUCCACCAGCUGCUAGGCCACUAUUUGGUCAUAAACUAGUUCCAAAAAUGCAGGAACAAAAAUAAGGAAAUAAACACGAAAAAGUUCGGCAGCUUGACAAAAAUUAAAGAUAGUGCAACACCCAAGCCGAGAAACGAAACACGAACCGGAAAUGUCUGUUCCGCGACAACCAAAGGCAAGA